UGCGUAGGCGGGUUUCUAAGUCAAAGGUGAAAGCCUGGAGCUCAACUCCAGAACUGCCUUUGAUACUGGAAGUCUUGAGUUCGGGAGAGGUGAGUGGAACUGCGAGUGUAGAGGUGAAAUUCGUAGAUAUUCGCAAGAACACCAGUGGCGAAGGCGGCUCACUGGCCCGAUACUGACGCUGAGGCACGAAAGCGUGGGAGCAAACA
This 206-nucleotide ribosomal RNA is filed under the name uncultured bacterium. RNAcentral's name for it is "partial 16S ribosomal RNA". It matches the Rfam family "Bacterial small subunit ribosomal RNA", at positions 568 to 774 of the family's 1533-position model. The record is from RNAcentral.